GCCUGGCUAGCUCAGUUGGUAAAGCAUGCGACUCUUGAUCUCAGGGUUGUGGGGUCGAGCCCCACACUGGGUA
This 73-nucleotide transfer RNA is filed under the name Felis catus (domestic cat). It matches the Rfam family "tRNA". Rfam says of the family: Transfer RNA (tRNA) molecules are approximately 80 nucleotides in length. The record is from Rfam by way of RNAcentral. RNAcentral also lists the same sequence under 3 other names. Lineage: Eukaryota; Metazoa; Chordata; Mammalia; Carnivora; Felidae.